This 307-nucleotide long non-coding RNA is filed under the name Oryctolagus cuniculus (rabbit). Its description in RNAcentral is "lncRNA (ENSOCUG00000037979.1)". Lineage: Eukaryota; Metazoa; Chordata; Mammalia; Lagomorpha; Leporidae. The record is from RNAcentral.
AUGCAAAGACAAUUCCAAGAAGCAGAAGCACAACACCAGGAAGUUGAAAACAGUGCUGAAAAGUCAAAAGAACAUCUGACAAUCUGCAAUUCAAAGCUUGAAUGUGAAAAUUCCAAGUUAAAGGAAAUAAUCAAAAAACAAGAGGGUACAAUUGAACAUCUUCAGGAAAAUCUCACAAGACUAAUUUCAGUAAGUCCAUCUCUUAAUGUCUGCCUUAGCACAUGGAGUCUUUAGUUUCUAAUUGGAAAUUGUGAGAAAAUUUUUGAUAAUGUGAAAAGCUUCAUCAAUAAAUAAUUUAAUGUAUUCA